GACCGCUCCGGUGGCCUAGUGGUUAAUGCGUCCGCCUUGUAUGCGGAAGGUCGUUAGUUCGAACCCCUACCGAGUCA
Non-coding RNA from Potamilus streckersoni, 77 nucleotides. Lineage: Eukaryota; Metazoa; Mollusca; Bivalvia; Unionida; Unionidae. The record is from the annotation of a GenBank genome assembly.